This 364-nucleotide small RNA is filed under the name Histoplasma capsulatum. Its description in RNAcentral is "hypothetical RNA". RNAcentral also lists the same sequence under 1 other name. The record is from RNAcentral. Lineage: Eukaryota; Fungi; Ascomycota; Eurotiomycetes; Onygenales; Ajellomycetaceae.
UUGGCUUCUUUUGUUUCCAUUUGGGCCUAGUGGGCUUUCGCACCUCUGUUGAAUCCGCAUCUCCUCGAACGUGGAAGCGUGUCUGUUUGCAGUUGGCGAUGAUGGUGGGAGCGGCAGCUUGCGAUGCCAUCUUGGUAGUCGAUUCUGUAUCAAGGCCCUAUCGAAAUUUUGGGAUAUUUGAUCAAAUAUGCUUGUCUGGGGCGCACCGGCUUAGGUAUCAUAUGUAUGAAUGAUGCAUAUGAGAUUACAUCGAAGCAAAUUACCACGAUCUUGUUCACCCACUAAGGAUAAAGGAGUCAGUGUCUAGAGGUUAGUGAUUAGGGGCUAGAAGUUAGAUUUAGAUUAUAAAUUAAGAUUAGUUAAG